CUAUGCAGAUAUACCAUGUUGGGGUCUGAGCUCCUGAGCAGAGCUAGGUCUGUGGUGAGUACUUGGAUGGGGGACCACCAAAGAGAUGUAGAAAUAGC
RNAcentral lists this ribosomal RNA (98 nucleotides) under Gopherus agassizii (Agassiz's desert tortoise). Lineage: Eukaryota; Metazoa; Chordata; Testudines; Testudinidae. The record is from RNAcentral.